This 280-nucleotide ribosomal RNA is filed under the name uncultured bacterium. RNAcentral describes it as "partial small subunit ribosomal RNA". It matches the Rfam family "Bacterial small subunit ribosomal RNA", at positions 26 to 285 of the family's 1533-position model. The record is from RNAcentral.
AGAAUCAACGCUGGCGGCGUGCCUAACACGUGCAAGUCGAACGCGAAAGUCCCGCAAGGGAUGAUUAGAGUGGCAAACGGGUGAGUAACACGUGGGUGACCUGCCUUCGAGUGGGGGGAUAACGCUCCGAAAAGGGACGCUAAUACCGCAUAACAUCCUGCCUUUUUAAGAGGUGGAGAUCAAAAGCCUGGGACCGCAAGGCCAGGCGCUUGACGAGGGGGCCCCGCGUCUGAUUUAGCUAGUUUGGUGGGGUAAUGGCUCACCAAGGCAACGAUCAGUA